CAUAGAGAUAUGGAAGUGCUCGAAAGAGAACCUGGGCACAGGUGCUGCAUGGCCGUCGUCAGCUCGUGUCGUGAGAUGUUGGGUUAAGUCCCGCAACGAGCGCAACCCUUGUCAUUAGUUGCUACGAAAGGGCACUCUAAUGAGACUGCCGGUGACAAACCGGAGGAAGGUGGGGAUGACGUCAGGUCCUCAUGGCCCUUAUGGGUAGGGCUACACACGUCAUACAAUGGCCGGUACAGAGGGCUGCCAACCCGCGAGGGGGAGCUAAUCCCAGAAAACCGGUCGUAGUCCGGAUUGCAGUCUGCAACUCGACUGCAUGAAGUCGGAAUCGCUAGUAAUCGCGGAUCAGCUUGCCGCGGUGAAUACGUUCCCGGGUCUUGUACACACCGCCCGUCACACCAUGGGAGCGGGUUCUGCCAGAAGUAGUUAGCCUAACCGCAAGGAGGGCGAUUACCACGGCAGGGUUCGUGACUGGGGUGAAGUCGUAACAAGGUAACCGU
RNAcentral lists this ribosomal RNA (500 nucleotides) under uncultured Comamonadaceae bacterium. Its description in RNAcentral is "bacterial SSU rRNA". It matches the Rfam family "Bacterial small subunit ribosomal RNA", at positions 999 to 1503 of the family's 1533-position model. Lineage: Bacteria; Pseudomonadati; Pseudomonadota; Betaproteobacteria; Burkholderiales; Comamonadaceae. The record is from RNAcentral.